CGGAGAACUAGUAAAGUCAAUGGAACAAAGUUUAAUUUUUGGAACACAACACAACCAUAAGUGAACACAGCAAAGAGUGAUAGUUCUCACCUAUUAAAGAAGGAAUGACUAGAGAAAUUCUAAGAUUAUCGCUUAGAUACAUGUAAUAUGGAUCAAACAUGACACUCCAAUAGUUGAGAUCGUUGGUGGUAGUGAGAGUGAAAGUAGAACCAAGAAUGAAACUUUCAUCGUUGGAGAUAGAGGUUGAAGACAUGGCAAAAGAACCAAGACAGAAUUGAUGCUGAAGGUGAAAAUUGGGGCAAGAAACCCUAAACAAUGAUGCACAAAAAAAGAACAAAUUAUGGAAGAAUUUUGGAAUGAAAGGAUUCUAUUGAGAAUUGAAGGAUGAGAAAUGUAUUUAACUAUAUUAGUGAUGAAGAUGAUGAAAAACAAAGGAGGAAGUACGAAUCAUACCUCAAUUUCUUUUAUUAAAUUGAUCACUUAUUUACAAAUUAACUAAAAGAGUAAAUCCUUAUAUAUAUACCAAAGGUAUAAUUUAGAAAUCAAAACUAACUAGAAACAACUCUUAACCAAAAUAAUAACAAAAAUAACUAAACCAUAUCAGAAAUGUAACUAAGGUCAAAACAAUAAAAUUAACGAUCACUAACAAUAACUUUUUAAGAUAUAUAUCAUCUAUUACAUACAAUAUUUAUGAUAUGGUUUAGGGUCCUACCACUUAUAUAUAUCCCGAUGUCCU
This 736-nucleotide long non-coding RNA is filed under the name Cicer arietinum (chickpea). Its description in RNAcentral is "long non-coding RNA (CARI_LNC002353)". Lineage: Eukaryota; Viridiplantae; Streptophyta; Magnoliopsida; Fabales; Fabaceae. The record is from RNAcentral.